GAUGAACGCUGGCGGCGUGCCUAAUACAUGCAAGUCGAGCGAACAGACGAGGAGUUUGCGCGGCUGACGUGAGGGGCGGGCGGGUGAGUAACACGAGUAUAACCUACCUAAAAGACUGAGAUAACGACGGGAAAGCGGAUAUAACACCGGAUAAGAUAUUGAACCGCAGGGUUCAUUGGAGAAAGACGGUUUUGCUGGAACUAAUAGAGGGUUCCGAGCCGGUUUGGCUAGUUGGUAAGGAAACGGCUUACCAAGGCGAGGAUGCGUAGCCGACCUGAGAGGCUGAUCGGCCACCCUGGAACUGAGACACGGUCCAGACUCCUACGGGAGGCAGCAGUAGGGAAUCUUCCGCAAUGGGCGAAAGCCUGACGCAGCAACGCCGCGUGAGUGAUGAAGGUCUUCGGAUCGUAAAGCUCUGUUAUUAGGGAUGAACCGCUGUGUCAGUAACUAUGCCCGUCUUGACGGUACCUACUCAGGAAGCCCCGGCUAACUACGUG
This 497-nucleotide ribosomal RNA is filed under the name uncultured bacterium. RNAcentral describes it as "partial 16S ribosomal RNA". It matches the Rfam family "Bacterial small subunit ribosomal RNA", at positions 28 to 507 of the family's 1533-position model. The record is from RNAcentral.